GUGUGAUCACUUAUCCGUGCAUGUACUAAAAUUGGAAUGCUGCAGAGAUUAUCAUGGCCCCUGCACAAGGAGGACACACAAAUUCUAAAGUGUUCCAUAUUUUA
This is a small nuclear RNA of Ictidomys tridecemlineatus (thirteen-lined ground squirrel), 104 nucleotides long. The record is from Ensembl. Lineage: Eukaryota; Metazoa; Chordata; Mammalia; Rodentia; Sciuridae.